RNAcentral lists this ribosomal RNA (487 nucleotides) under uncultured Verrucomicrobiota bacterium. Its description in RNAcentral is "bacterial SSU rRNA". It matches the Rfam family "Bacterial small subunit ribosomal RNA", at positions 224 to 704 of the family's 1533-position model. Lineage: Bacteria; Pseudomonadati; Verrucomicrobiota. The record is from RNAcentral.
GAGGAGCCCGCGGCCUAUCUGCUAGUUGGUGAGGUAACGGCCCACCAAGGCUUUGACGGGUAGCUGGUCUGAGAGGACGACCAGCCACACUGGGACUGAGACACGGCCCAGACACCUACGGGUGGCAGCAGUCGAGAAUUUUUCUCAAUGGGGGAAACCCUGAAGGAGCGACGCCGCGUGGAGGAUGAAGGUCUUCGGGUUGUAAACUCCUGUCAUUUGGGAACAAGUCUUACGUAUUAACUGUACGUGCGUUGAUAGUACCAGAAGAGGAAGAGACGGCUAACUCUGUGCCAGCAGCCGCGGUAAUACAGAGGUCUCAAGCGUUGUUCGGAUUCAUUGGGCGUAAAGGGUGCGUAGGCGGCGCGGUAAGUCGGGUGUGAAAUCUCGGAGCUUAACUCCGAAACUGCAUUCGAUACUGCCGUGCUUGAGGACUGGAGAGGAGACUGGAAUUUACGGUGUAGCGGUGAAAUGCGUAGAUAUCGUAAGG